This 252-nucleotide ribosomal RNA is filed under the name uncultured bacterium. RNAcentral's name for it is "partial 16S ribosomal RNA". It matches the Rfam family "Bacterial small subunit ribosomal RNA", at positions 524 to 776 of the family's 1533-position model. The record is from RNAcentral.
UACGGAGGAUGCGAGCGUUAUCCGGAUUUAUUGGGUUUAAAGGGUGCGUAGGCGGACGGUCAAGUCAGCGGUAAAAAUGCGGUGCUCAACGCCGUACAGCCGUUGAAACUGGCAGUCUUGAGUGGGCGAGAAGUAUGCGGAAUGCGUGGUGUAGCGGUGAAAUGCUUAGAUAUCAGGAGGAACAUCGGUGGCGUAAGCGCUUUACUGGGCCGUAAUUGACGCUGAGGAACGAAAGCCAGGGUAGCAAAUGGG